CUCCAAUAGUGUAUAUUAAAGUUGUUGCAGUUAAAAAGCUCGUAGUCGAAUGUAGAAGUGGCAAUACUGAUCUGACUUAGGAGACAGACAUUGGUAAUGUGAUUUCUUUUUACCGACCACGGGUUGUUUUUUAUUAAACCAACUUUUUGGGCAAUCGGUAAUUUUUACUGUGAAUAAUUAGAGUGUUCAUGGCAGGCCUC
This 200-nucleotide ribosomal RNA is filed under the name uncultured eukaryote. RNAcentral's name for it is "partial 18S ribosomal RNA". It matches the Rfam family "Eukaryotic small subunit ribosomal RNA", at positions 589 to 788 of the family's 1831-position model. The record is from RNAcentral.